AAUAAGUGUAGUUUUGCACUAUUCACAUUCAACGAUUGACCGUCCGUCUUAUUUGAAAAAUUUGUGAAAAAAUUAAAAAUAUUUAGUCACACAUAAAGUACUAUUCAUAUUUUAUUAUCUAAUAGCAAUAAAAAUACUAAUCAUAAAAAAUUUUCAAAUAAGACGGACGGUCAAACGUUGAACGUGAAUAGUGCAAAACUGCACUUAUU
This 209-nucleotide microRNA precursor is filed under the name Oryza sativa Japonica Group (Japanese rice). RNAcentral's name for it is "MIR812 microRNA precursor family". It matches the Rfam family "MIR812 microRNA precursor family". The record is from Rfam by way of RNAcentral. Lineage: Eukaryota; Viridiplantae; Streptophyta; Magnoliopsida; Poales; Poaceae.